CAACCUGGUGAUCCUGCCAGUAGUCACACGCUCGUCUCAAAGAUUAAGCCAUGCAUAUCUCAGCUUAAGUUUUCUUACCAUGGUGCUGUGCAUGGCUCAUUAUAACAGCUGUAAUUCAGUGGAUGGUUGCUGCACAUGGAUAUCUGUGGCAAUUCUGUGGCUAAUACAUGCUCAACAACUCAGUCAGUGUGGGUUGUGGUCAUUUCCUCAGAAUCAAUGCAUGCGAUGCCUGCUUGGUUUUCCAAGAAGAAUGACAGAAUGGAUUGCGGUGUUUUCACUGGUGCUGUGCCUUGAAAGUUUCUGACCUACCAGCUGUCGACGGCAGGGUAGUGGCCUGCUGUGGCUGUGACAGGUGACGGAGGAUGAGGGUUUGACUCCGGAGAGGGAGCCUGAGAGAUGGCUACCACAUCUAAGGAAGGCAGCAGGCGCGCAAAUUGCCCAAUCCCAACAGAGGGAGGUAGUGACAAGAAAUAGCAAUACAAGGCAUCCAUGUUUUGUACUUGGAAUGAAUGGCCAGCAAACUUUGUUGUUAGGAUCAAUUGGAGGGCAAGUCUGGUGCCAGCUUGACUGUGUGGUGCACUUCUGGGAGCAUUUACUUUGAGGAAGUAAGGGUGUUCAAAGCAGGUGUUUUGCCUUGGAUGCAGAAGCAUGGAAUAUUGUUUUGAGUCUUGGCCUCAUUUUGUUGGUUUCUGAAGCGAAGGUAGUGUUCAAAGGGGAUGGUUGGGGGCAUUCAUAUUCGACUGUCAGAGGUGAAAUUCUUGAAUUUGUCAAGGAUGGACCAGUGCUAAGGCAUUUGCCAAGGAUGUCUUCAUUGAUCAAGAACGAAAGUUAGGGGAUCGAAGACGAUUAGAUACCGUCAUAGUAUUAACCAUAAACAAUGCCAACUAGAGAUUGGGGGUCGUUACCUGUAGGAUUCUGUCAGCACCUUGCAAGAAAUUUAGGUCUUUGGGUUCCGGGGGGAGUAUGGUCGCAAGGCUGAAACUUAAAGGAAUUGACGGAAGGGCACCACCAGGAGUGGAGCCUGCGGCUUAAUUUGACUCAACACGGGGAAACUUACCAGGUCCUGGCACAAGUGGGAUUGACAGAUUGACAGCUUUUUCUUGAUUCUGUGGGUGGUGGUGCAUGGCCGUUCUUAGUUGGUGGAGUGAUUUGUCUGGUUAAUUCCGUUAACGAACGAGACCUUGACCUGCUAAAUAGUAACACGUAAUUGCGAGUAUGUGGACAACUUCUUAGAGGGACUUUUGUGUGUCUAGCACAAGGAAGUGUGAGGCAAUAACGGGUCUGUGAUGCCCUUUGAUGUUCUGGGCUGCCUGAGCACCUCAUCUUGCCUGAAGUGGCUGGGCAAUCUUUGGAUGGAUCAUUGCAAUUAUUGCUUCUCAACGAGGAAUUCCUAGUAAAUGUGAGUCAUCAACUUGCACUGAUUACGUCCCUGGCCCCGUUGUGGCAUUCAGUUCCUGAGAGGAUCUUCAAGAAAUUCAGUGAACCUUAUCACUUAGAGGACGGAGAAGUCGUAACAAGGUUUCCGUAGGUG
Molecule: ribosomal RNA, 1531 nt
Filed under: Gambierdiscus scabrosus
Lineage: Eukaryota; Dinophyceae; Gonyaulacales; Pyrocystaceae
Description: SSU rRNA
Rfam family: Eukaryotic small subunit ribosomal RNA
Source: RNAcentral